GUCGAGAUGUCCGAGCGGUUUAAGGAGCUGGUCUCGAAAACCAGUGAUACGGAAACGUACCGUGGGUUCAAAUCCCACUCUCGACGCCA
RNAcentral lists this transfer RNA (89 nucleotides) under Prevotella sp. Its description in RNAcentral is "tRNA-Ser". It matches the Rfam family "tRNA". Rfam says of the family: Transfer RNA (tRNA) molecules are approximately 80 nucleotides in length. Their secondary structure includes four short double-helical elements and three loops (D, anti-codon, and T loops). The record is from RNAcentral. Lineage: Bacteria; Pseudomonadati; Bacteroidota; Bacteroidia; Bacteroidales; Prevotellaceae.